UGAACUGCAGCUCCAGAUAUUUGCCCAAGAGAAGCAUACACUUACCUUAUCUAAGAGACCUACUUAGCAGUCCACUGCUUCCGCAGCUUGACUAAAUACUUGGCAGGCCAAACAAUAUAUCCAAAUCUUCUUUAACCAUAAUAAACAAGAUGAAGUUCUCAUACAUUACAAACAUGAAUGAUUUCAAUCUAUAUAUUUAGAUAUAUAUUACAAUCAUGUUCGACAUCCUGUAAACAAACAAAAGGUUUGACAUGAUAUUUAGUAACCUAGAACCAGAAACAUUAUCAACUGAUGUGGUGAUUCAAGUAGUAACCUCUACAUGCAAUUAAAGAUCUCUAUUGAGUCUUAAGAAAAGUAUUCUGGUCAGUCUAGUUUAACCUCAAUAAGACUUCACAUACACAGCAUAAGUAUUCACAAAUAAUCCAUUCGCUACUUUUGAAAUCAAAUCCACAUCCAACAUAGUGCAGUUAUCAGUUUUUAUAAAACCACACUUCGUAACUGCACUAAAUACCCUUCCAUGAACAGGUAUGCCUCUCACAUAAAUUACAAGAAUUGAUAAUGCUGCAGAUUAUUACACUUUCUCCACAUAAGAAUUAAGAUCUUUUUAAAUUAUUACACAAUAAAAUCAAACUUAUCUAAUUUUUCAUUGUAUUGAUUGCUAACAAAUAAAGCAAAGGCUGAUCACUAUUUAAAAACUAAAACCAACACUAAUUAGAACUAAAUAAGGAAGCCAAGUUGUAACCCAUAACUUCAACUUAAACAUUUAGUAGCCCAUUCUAUAAAAGGAUACGUCCUUUUAUGUACUAUAUUCAGAAAACUUAAUACACUCUUGUUCACACGAAAUCUCUUCCCUAUUAGUAAGGCAACAAUCUAACAAUCAAAUAUAUUUAUUGGAUAAAGAUAUUUGUACAAAAACUUAUUGACAAAAUGGUGUACUCACUCUCACAAAAUUAGCGGACCCCACGUGAAUUUAAAAAAUGUUAGCUUGUGGUCCCCACCCCCCUUGUUAAUAGUGAGUAAGUGAGUUUGUAAAAAAAGUUUGUAAAUGUAUCAUGAUCCAUAUUUAUUUGAAGACCUCUUUCUUUUUGUCCGGAACAAUCACAUAUUAAGUGAAGUGAUAAACUUUUGCUCACUUAAGUGCCUCCUACUUACCAGCAAGGUGACAGUCUAACAUUCAAAAUAUGCUGUUCCAUAGAUGUGAAAUCGAUAAUUUUUAACAUCCUCAUAGCAUGCAAUUCUUUUGUAGUCAGUUGGUGCUCAAUGUAUGCAAGUGGAAAGUUCAUCUAUGCAUUAAAUUCACCUAAAUCUUAGUUAUCACUUAAUACCAAACAGGUUUUUCGCGAACAACUAGUGGCCUUAGAUAUCUAGUUUGUCAUUACAUGAAUCGAGUACCUCUAGUGUUAACAUUCUUGUACAUGCAACCUGGCCUCCAUGCUCAUCGAUGAUUUGCCAUCUUGCUUUUCUCUAAACACAUCCAUCCUACUCAAAAGGGCCCUUUGAAUAAACAAAUACAACACACCAGCUUUAUACACAACUUUAAUCAUUAGUUCUAAAUUUAGCAUCCCAAAUGCUUGCCACACAGGACAGACAUUCCUCCAACAUGAGAAAUCGUAAAAACAAUGCCACGGCAUCAAUUACACAUUUCCCAACAAAUAUGUCGUUUCAGUCCUCCGUGACAUGAGAGCAACAAUUAAAGGAUUCUUGCAUACUAAAACCUCAUAAUCAUCACCAAUGACCAAAAGUGAAGCAAGUCAACUGAAACUAAACGUUUGCUCGUAAACUCGUUCCUUUCAUAUCCAGCAAAAUAGGACUAAAACUAUCUCGAACAGAUCAAAUUACUCCCGUUGUACUCCAAUUUUUCAGAAUAAAAAAAUAUCAAAAGGUAUAAACCAAGUAACGAACCUGAGAAAGAGAGGCGGAAGCAAGCGAAGCAGCAGAGUACAAAGAGCAAUAAUGAGAUCAAAUCAGCCAUGGCGCGAGGGAAAGUGAUUAACUUGUGGAAGAAUUGCCAAUAACAAAAUCCCUAGAUCAUGGACACAGAGUGACAGACAGCAAUUCUCAGUCAAAAUACAAGGCCAUGUUUUACGUGCAACCGCAGACUUCGGAAGACUAUUAAAAUAAUCGGUGAUAUGCAUUUAACGACCGUUCCUCGCAAUUCAUUCUAUUAGCUCCAGUUUGGCCGGAAAAAUUAUUGAGUGAAAUAGUAUUUUUUUUUUU
Molecule: long non-coding RNA, 2217 nt
Filed under: Olea europaea (common olive)
Lineage: Eukaryota; Viridiplantae; Streptophyta; Magnoliopsida; Lamiales; Oleaceae
Description: long non-coding RNA (OEUR_LNC014130)
Source: RNAcentral